RNAcentral lists this ribosomal RNA (460 nucleotides) under uncultured bacterium. Its description in RNAcentral is "partial 16S ribosomal RNA". It matches the Rfam family "Bacterial small subunit ribosomal RNA", at positions 338 to 795 of the family's 1533-position model. The record is from RNAcentral.
CCUACGGGUGGCAGCAGUGAGGAAUAUUGGUCAAUGGACGAGAGUCUGAACCAGCCAAGUAGCGUGAAGGAUGACUGCCCUAUGGGUUGUAAACUUCUUUUAUAUGGGAAUAAAAUGUUCCACGUGUGGGAUUUUGUAUGUACCAUAUGAAUAAGGAUCGGCUAACUCCGUGCCAGCAGCCGCGGUAAUACGGAGGAUCCGAGCGUUAUCCGGAUUUAUUGGGUUUAAAGGGAGCGUAGGUGGAUUGUUAAGUCAGUUGUGAAAGUUUGCGGCUCAACCGGAAAAUUGCAGUUGAAACUGGCAGUCUUGAGUACAGUAGAGGUGGGCGGAAUUCGUGGUGUAGCGGUGAAAUGCUUAGAUAUCACGAAGAAAUCCGAUUGCGAAGGCAGUUCACUGGACUGCAACUGACACUGAGGCUCGAAAGUGUGGGUAUCAAACAGGAUUAGAUACCCCAGUAGUC